ACUCCUGCGGGAGGCAGCAGUGGGGAAUUUUGGACAAUGGGCGAAAGCCUGAUCCAGCAAUGCCGCGUGUGUGAAGAAGGCCUUCGGGUUGUAAAGCACUUUUGUCCGGAAAGAAAUCCUUGGCUCUAAUACAGUCGGGGGAUGACGGUACCGGAAGAAUAAGCACCGGCUAACUACGUGCCAGCAGCCGCGGUAAUACGUAGGGUGCGAGCGUUAAUCGGAAUUACUGGGCGUAAAGCGUGCGCAGGCGGUUUACUAAGACCGAUGUGAAAUCCCCGGGCUCAACCUGGGAACUGCAUUGGUGACUGGCAGGCUAGAGUAUGGCAGAGGGGGGUAGAAUUCCACGUGUAGCAGUGAAAUGCGUAGAGAUGUGGAGGAAUACCGAUGGCGAAGGCAGCCCCCUGGGCCAAUACUGACGCUCAUGCACGAAAGCGUGGGGAGCAAACAGGAUUAGAUACCCCGGUAGUCC
RNAcentral lists this ribosomal RNA (469 nucleotides) under uncultured organism. RNAcentral describes it as "partial 16S ribosomal RNA". It matches the Rfam family "Bacterial small subunit ribosomal RNA", at positions 335 to 796 of the family's 1533-position model. The record is from RNAcentral.